RNAcentral lists this ribosomal RNA (1031 nucleotides) under Clostridium sporogenes. RNAcentral describes it as "bacterial SSU rRNA". It matches the Rfam family "Bacterial small subunit ribosomal RNA", at positions 266 to 1317 of the family's 1533-position model. The record is from RNAcentral. Lineage: Bacteria; Bacillati; Bacillota; Clostridia; Eubacteriales; Clostridiaceae.
UACCAAGGCAACGAUGCGUAGCCGACCUGAGAGGGUGAUCGGCCACAUUGGAACUGAGACACGGUCCAGACUCCUACGGGAGGCAGCAGUGGGGAAUAUUGCGCAAUGGGGGAAACCCUGACGCAGCAACGCCGCGUGGGUGAUGAAGGUCUUCGGAUUGUAAAGCCCUGUUUUCUGGGACGAUAAUGACGGUACCAGAGGAGGAAGCCACGGCUAACUACGUGCCAGCAGCCGCGGUAAUACGUAGGUGGCGAGCGUUGUCCGGAUUUACUGGGCGUAAAGGGUGCGUAGGCGGAUGUUUAAGUGGGAUGUGAAAUCCCCGGGCUUAACCUGGGGGCUGCAUUCCAAACUGGAUAUCUAGAGUGCAGGAGAGGAAAGCGGAAUUCCUAGUGUAGCGGUGAAAUGCGUAGAGAUUAGGAAGAACACCAGUGGCGAAGGCGGCUUUCUGGACUGUAACUGACGCUGAGGCACGAAAGCGUGGGUAGCAAACAGGAUUAGAUACCCUGGUAGUCCACGCCGUAAACGAUGGAUACUAGGUGUAGGGGGUAUCAACUCCCUCUGUGCCGCAGUUAACACAAUAAGUAUCCCGCCUGGGGAGUACGGUCGCAAGAUUAAAACUCAAAGGAAUUGACGGGGGCCCGCACAAGCAGCGGAGCAUGUGGUUUAAUUCGAAGCAACGCGAAGAACCUUACCUGGACUUGACAUCCCUUGCAUAGCCUAGAGAUAGGUGAAGCCCUUCGGGGCAAGGAGACAGGUGGUGCAUGGUUGUCGUCAGCUCGUGUCGUGAGAUGUUAGGUUAAGUCCUGCAACGAGCGCAACCCUUGUUAUUAGUUGCUACCAUUAAGUUGAGCACUCUAAUGAGACUGCCUGGGUAACCAGGAGGAAGGUGGGGAUGACGUCAAAUCAUCAUGCCCCUUAUGUCCAGGGCUACACACGUGCUACAAUGGUAGGUACAAUAAGACGCAAGACCGUGAGGUGGAGCAAAACUUAUAAAACCUAUCUCAGUUCGGAUUGUAGGCUGCAACUCGCCU